Molecule: long non-coding RNA, 1439 nt
Organism: Oncorhynchus keta (chum salmon)
Lineage: Eukaryota; Metazoa; Chordata; Actinopteri; Salmoniformes; Salmonidae
Exons: 3
Source: RefSeq, a predicted model, not a curated record
CUCAGCUUGCUUCCUUCUGAGGAUUUGAUUCAUAAUGACGUCCAGGAUGAGUUGACUGUAACAGUUGAUUCAUAAGGACAUCCAGGAUGAGUUGACUGUAACAGUUGAUUCAUAAUGACGUCCAGGAUGAGUUGACUGUAACAGUUGAUUCAUAAGGACAUCCAGGAUGAGUUGACUGUAACAGUUGAUUCAUAAGGACAUCCAGGAUGAGUUGACUGUAACAGUUGAUUCAUAAUGACAUCCAGGAUGAGUUGACUGUAACAGUUGAUUCAUAAGGACGUCCAGGAUGAGUUGACUGUAACAGUUGAUUCAUAAGGACAUCCAGGAUGAGUUGACUGUAACAGUUGAUUCAUAAUGACGUCCAGGAUGAGUUGACUGUAACAGUUGAUUCAUAAUGACGUCCAGGAUGAGUUGACUGUAACAGUUGAUUCAUAAGGACAUCCAGGUUGAGUUGACUGUAACAGUUGAUUCAUAAUGACGUCCAGGUUGAGCUGACUGUAACAGUUGAUUCAUAAGGACAUCCAGGAUGAGUUGACUGUAACAGUUGAUUCAUAAGGACAUCCAGGAUGAGUUGACUGUAACAGUUGAUUCAUAAUGACGUCCAGGAUGAGUUGACUGUAACAGUUGAUUCAUAAGGACGUCCAGGAUGAGUUGACUGUAACAGUUGAUUCAUAAGGACAUCCAGGAUGAGUUGACUGUAACAGUUGAUUCAUAAUGACGUCCAGGAUGAGUUGACUGUAACAGUUGAUUCAUAAGGACAUCCAGGUUGAGUUGACUGUAACAGUUGAUUCAUAAUGACAUCCAGGAUGAGUUGACUGUAACAGUUGAUUCAUAAGGACAUCCAGGAUGAGUUGACUGUAACAGUUGAUUCAUAAGGACAUCCAGGAUGAGUUGACUGUAACAGUUGAUUCAUAAGGACAUCCAGGAUGAGCUGACUGUAACAGUUGAUUCAUAAGGACAUCCAGGAUGAGUUGACUGUAACAGUUGAUUCAUAAGGACAUCCAGGAUGAGUUGACUGUAACAGUUGAUUCAUAAGGACAUCCAGGAUGAGUUGACUGUAACAGUUGAUUCAUAAUGACAUCCAGGAUGAGUUGACUGUAACAGUUGAUUCAUAAGGACAUCCAGGAUGAGUUGACUGUAACAGUUGAUUCAUAAUGACAUCCAGGAUGAGUUGACUGUAACAGUUGAUUCAUAAGGACAUCCAGGAUGAGUUGACUGUAACAGUUGAUUCAUAAGGACAUCCAGGAUGAGUUGACUGUAACAGUUGAUUCAUAAUGACAUCCAGGAUGAGUUGACUGUAACAGUUGAUUCAUAAGGACAUCCAGGAUGAGUUGACUGUAACAGUUGAUUCAUAAUGACAUCCAGGAUGAGUUGACUGUAACAGUUGAUUCAUAAUGACAUCCAGGAUGAGUUGACUGUAACAGUUGAUUCAUAAGGAC